This is a non-coding RNA of Pelobates cultripes (western spadefoot toad), 369 nucleotides long. Lineage: Eukaryota; Metazoa; Chordata; Amphibia; Anura; Pelobatidae. The record is from the annotation of a GenBank genome assembly.
GGGACAUACUGUGGAGUUACUGGGUGGCCACCAUUUCCUGUAUCAGAAGCACAUGGUGAGAACAAUGGAUGGCGGCCAUUUUAACUCACAGACACUUUUCAACACGGUGCCAUCUCGCCAGUAUUUGGUGCACAGAGACAUGGUGCAGUGGUUUUGGACUAUACAGCAGGGGACACAUUAUAAAGUGAUUGUUUUUCAUUUAGCCUGUAUAUGUUCUGCAGAAUCUGCAUUAAACUGUAUCUUCCAAAGUACUGAACGGAUCUGGGUGAAUUUUGGAUAUGUGGUUCACCCAUAUCCCCCGGUUCCAAGGAUAUAUGGGGUUAUUGCAUGUUUUGGGGUCCCUGUGUGUUUUAUGAAACUGUAUUAUUU